CCUACGGGUGGCAGCAGUGGGGAAUAUUGGACAAUGGGCGAAAGCCUGAUCCAGCCAUGCCGCGUGUGUGAAGAAGGCCUUCGGGUUGUAAAGCACUUUCAGUGGGGAAGAAAGCCUUGGGGCUAAUACCCUCGAGGAAGGACAUCACCCACAGAAGAAGCACCGGCUAACUCCGUGCCAGCAGCCGCGGUAAUACGGAGGGUGCGAGCGUUAAUCGGAAUUACUGGGCGUAAAGCGCGCGUAGGCGGUCUGAUAAGCCGGUUGUGAAAGCCCCGGGCUCAACCUGGGAACGGCAUCCGGAACUGUCAGGCUAGAGUGCAGGAGAGGAAGGUAGAAUUCCCGGUGUAGCGGUGAAAUGCGUAGAGAUCGGGAGGAAUACCAGUGGCGAAGGCGGCCUUCUGGACUGACACUGACGCUGAGGUGCGAAAGCGUGGGAAGCAAACAGGAUUAGAUACCCGAGUAGUC
Molecule: ribosomal RNA, 465 nt
Filed under: Vreelandella stevensii
Lineage: Bacteria; Pseudomonadati; Pseudomonadota; Gammaproteobacteria; Oceanospirillales; Halomonadaceae
Description: partial 16S ribosomal RNA
Rfam family: Bacterial small subunit ribosomal RNA
Source: RNAcentral